RNAcentral lists this ribosomal RNA (424 nucleotides) under Verrucomicrobiota bacterium. RNAcentral describes it as "Verrucomicrobia bacterium partial 16S ribosomal RNA". It matches the Rfam family "Bacterial small subunit ribosomal RNA", at positions 355 to 776 of the family's 1533-position model. The record is from RNAcentral. Lineage: Bacteria; Pseudomonadati; Verrucomicrobiota.
UGAGGAAUAUUGGUCAAUGGACGCAAGUCUGAACCAGCCAAGUAGCGUGCAGGAUGACGGCCCUAUGGGUUGUAAACUGCUUUUAUAUGGGGAUAAAGUGGGGAACGUGUUCCCUUUUGCAGGUACCAUAUGAAUAUGGACCGGCUAAUUCCGUGCCAGCCGCCGCGGUAAUACGGAAGGUUCGGGCGUUAUCCGGAUUUAUUGGGUUUAAAGGGAGCGUAGGCCGUUUGGUAAGCGUGUUGUGAAAUGUAGGAGCUCAACUUCUAGAUUGCAGCGCGAACUGUCAGACUGGAGUGCGCACAACGUAGGCGGAAUUCAUGGUGUAGCGGUGAAAUGCUUAGAUAUCAUGAAGAACUCCGAUUGCGAAGGCAGCUUACGGGGGCGCAACUGACGCUGAAGCUCGAAGGUGCGGGUAUCGAACAGG